This 439-nucleotide ribosomal RNA is filed under the name uncultured bacterium. RNAcentral's name for it is "partial 16S ribosomal RNA". It matches the Rfam family "Bacterial small subunit ribosomal RNA", at positions 339 to 795 of the family's 1533-position model. The record is from RNAcentral.
CUACGGGGUGCACCAGUGAGGAAUAUUGCACAAUGGGGGGAACCCUGAUGCAGCAACGCCGCGUGGAGGAUGACGCAUUUCGGUGUGUAAACUCCUUUUAUAUGUCAAGAAAAUGACGGUAGCAUAUGAAUAAGCACCGGCUAACUCCGUGCCAGCAGCCGCGGUAAUACGGAGGGUGCAAGCGUUACUCGGAAUCACUGGGCGUAAAGGACGCGUAGGCGGGUUGGAAAGUCAGGUGUGAAAUCCUACAGCUUAACUGUAGAACUGAACUUGAAACUUCUAAUCUAGAGUAUGGGAGGGGGAGAUGGAAUUCGUGGUGUAGGGGUAAAAUCCGUAGAUAUCACUAGGAAUACCUAAAGCGAAGGCGAUCUCCUGGAACAUUACUGACGCUAAGGCGUGAAAGCGUGGGGAGCAAACAGGAUUAGAUACCCCUGUAGUC